GGCCUCGUAGCUCAGCGAGUAGAGCGUGCGUUGGACAAAGGCGUAGACGACGUCCAUGUGUGGGUUCGAAUCCCGCCGAAUCUG
RNAcentral lists this transfer RNA (84 nucleotides) under Echinostoma caproni. It matches the Rfam family "tRNA". From Rfam's summary of the family: Transfer RNA (tRNA) molecules are approximately 80 nucleotides in length. Their secondary structure includes four short double-helical elements and three loops (D, anti-codon, and T loops). Lineage: Eukaryota; Metazoa; Platyhelminthes; Trematoda; Plagiorchiida; Echinostomatidae. The record is from Rfam by way of RNAcentral.